UCCAGGAAGUUCCUGUCACACAAGGAGGGGCAGCAGCGCCCCUUUGCCCCAGGGGAGAGCUGCGUGGGACAUGUGCCCAGCUCAGCCCUGGGACCCAAAAUGGAGAAGAGAAAGGAGAAACUGAGGAUGGCAACCCCCCUCCGUGGGAACCCUGGGAAAGGCGGCACUGCAGGGCGUGGGCCGCUAGCAAGAACCGAUGGCCUUCCACCCCAGCAUUCGGUCUGCCCAGGCUUGCCUCAGUUUCCCCAUCUGGCCAGAAGCCCGAGAUGGCUACUUCCAGGGGGGUGUGGGCAGCAGAAAGAAGCGGACUAAGGCGACCAGAAGAGGAGGGGGAUUUGGGGAAGUCAGGGCCCUGUCCCUUUUCCGAGCCCCGGUCGCCAAGCCUCCCCUCCCCCGCCUGGCAUCUGAGCCGCCCAGAUAACGGGACCUCCCCGGGUGGAGCAUGCGCCGUGCGUCCUGGCCCAUCAGCCGGAGGGGAUCGGCAAGAAUUUUAGUCUGGUAACAACCAGCGGGGUGAGCACAGGCUGUGGGACAAAAUGUUACCCGGCAGAAAGAUUAUAUCCAACCGUGUUCACCCUGUGCGAUUCAUCUCUGCCAUCGACCCUGGAGAAGCCAUCGGAGGCGCGUGUGCAUGAGGAGCACCUGUCAAAGGUCCUCAUCUCACCGGUUGGUGAGUUCCAGCCCUGUGGACCG
Molecule: non-coding RNA, 693 nt
Organism: Puma concolor (puma)
Lineage: Eukaryota; Metazoa; Chordata; Mammalia; Carnivora; Felidae
Source: RefSeq, a predicted model, not a curated record